Molecule: ribosomal RNA, 433 nt
Filed under: uncultured bacterium
Lineage: Bacteria
Description: partial 16S ribosomal RNA
Rfam family: Bacterial small subunit ribosomal RNA
Source: RNAcentral
AACGAACGCUGGCGGCAUGCCUAACACAUGCAAGUCGAACGAGACCUUCGGGUCUAUUGGCGCACGGGUGCGUAACGCGUGGGAACCUGCCCUUAGGUUCGGAAUAACUCCCCGAAAGGGGUGCUAAUACCGGAUAAUGUCUUCGGACCAAAGAUUUAUCGCCUUUGGAUGGGCCCGCGUUGGAUUAGCUAGUUGGUAGGGUAAAAGCCUACCAAGGCGACGAUCCAUAGCUGGUCUGAGAGGAUGAUCAGCCACACUGGGACUGAGACACGGCCCAGACUCCUACGGGAGGCAGCAGUGGGGAAUAUUGGAAAAUGGGCGAAAGCCUGAUCCAGCAAUGCCGCGUGAGUGAUGAAGGCCUUAGGGUUGUAAAGCUCUUUUACACGGGAUGAUAAUGACAGUACCGGGAGAAUAAGCUCCGGCUAACUCCGUG